AGCAGCCGCGGUAAUUCCAGCUCCAAUAGCGUAUAUUAAAGUUGUUGCAGUUAAAAAGCUCGUAGUUGAAUUUCGGGAUUGACGUGACGGUCAUGCCUUAAGGGGUAUGAACUGUUACUGUUGAUUUCUCACCUUCUGGAGAAACUUGAUGUCCUUUAUUGGGUGUCUUGCGGAACCGGGACCUUUACCUUGAAAAAUUAGAGUGUUUAAAGCAGGCAUUUUUGCUCGAAUACAUUAGCAUGGAAUAAUAGAAUAGGACGGCAUGGUUCUAUUUUGUUGGUUUCUAGGAUCACCGUAAUGAUUAAUAGGGAUAGUUGGGGGCAUUAGUAUUCAAUUGUCAGAGGUGAAAUUCUUGGAUUUAUUGAAGACUAACUACUGCGAAAGCAUUUGCCAAGGAUGUUUUCAUUAAUCAAGAACGAAAGUUAGGGGAUCGAAGACGAUCAGAUACCGUCGUAGUCUUAACCAUAAACUAUGCCGACUAGGGAUCGGAUGAUGUUAAUUUUUAAUGUACUCAUUCGGC
Molecule: ribosomal RNA, 520 nt
Filed under: uncultured Entrophospora
Lineage: Eukaryota; Fungi; Glomeromycota; Glomeromycetes; Entrophosporales; Entrophosporaceae
Description: SSU rRNA
Rfam family: Eukaryotic small subunit ribosomal RNA
Source: RNAcentral